UAGUUCAGUCAGUUGAGCGUGGCGCUAACAACGCUAAGGUCAUGGGUUCAAUUCCUGU
Molecule: non-coding RNA, 58 nt
Organism: Apaloderma vittatum (bar-tailed trogon)
Lineage: Eukaryota; Metazoa; Chordata; Aves; Trogoniformes; Trogonidae
Source: Rfam